GAUGAACGCUGGCGGCGUGCCUAAUACAUGCAAGUCGAGCGAACAGACGAGGAGCUUGCUCCUCUGACGUUAGCGGCGGACGGGUGAGUAACACGUGGAUAACCUACCUAUAAGACUGGGAUAACUUCGGGAAACCGGAGCUAAUACCGGAUAAUAUAUUGAACCGCAUGGUUCAAUAGUGAAAGACGGUUUUGCUGUCACUUAUAGAUGGAUCCGCGCCGCAUUAGCUAGUUGGUAAGGUAACGGCCUACCAAGGCGACGAUGCGUAGCCGACCUGAGAGAGUGAUAGGCCACCCGGGAACGGAGACACCGUCCAGACGCCUACGGGAGGCAGCAGUAGGGAAUCUGCCGCAAUGGGCGAAAGCCUGACGGAGCAACGCGGCGUGAGUGAUGAAGGUCUUCGGAGCGUAAAACUCGGUUAUUAGGGAAGAACAAAUGUGUAAGUAACUAUGCACGUCUUGACGGUAACUAAUCAGAAAGCCACGGCUAACUACGUG
RNAcentral lists this ribosomal RNA (497 nucleotides) under uncultured bacterium. RNAcentral describes it as "partial 16S ribosomal RNA". It matches the Rfam family "Bacterial small subunit ribosomal RNA", at positions 28 to 507 of the family's 1533-position model. The record is from RNAcentral.